Molecule: ribosomal RNA, 492 nt
Filed under: uncultured bacterium
Lineage: Bacteria
Description: partial 16S ribosomal RNA
Rfam family: Bacterial small subunit ribosomal RNA
Source: RNAcentral
AGUGAACGCUGGCGGUAGGCCUAACACAUGCAAGUCGAACGGCAGCACAGUAAGAGCUUGCUCUUACGGGUGGCGAGUGGCGGACGGGUGAGGAAUACAUCGGAAUCUACUUUUUCGUGGGGGAUAACGUAGGGAAACUUACGCUGAUACCGCAUACGACCUACGGGUGAAAGCAGGGGAUCUUCGGACCUUGCGCGAUUGAAUGAGCCGAUGUCGGAUUAGCUAGUUGGCGGGGUAAAGGCCCACCAAGGCGACGAUCCGUAGCUGGUCUGAGAGGAUGAUCAGCCACACUGGAACUGGGACACGGUCCAGACUCCUACGGGAGGCAGCAGUGGGGAAUAUUGGACAAAGGGCGCAAGCCUGAUCCAGCCAUACCGCGUGGGUGAAGAAGGCCUUCGGGUUGUAAAGCCCUUUUGUUGGGAAAGAAAAGCAGCAGGUUAAUACCCCGCUGUUCUGACGGUACCCAAAGAAUAAGCACCGGCUAACUUCGUG